This 682-nucleotide ribosomal RNA is filed under the name bacterium OVA6. RNAcentral describes it as "bacterial SSU rRNA". It matches the Rfam family "Bacterial small subunit ribosomal RNA", at positions 46 to 737 of the family's 1533-position model. The record is from RNAcentral.
GCUUAACACAUGCAAGUCGAACGAUGAACUCCAGCUUGCUGGAGGGAUUAGUGGCGAACGGGUGAGUAACACGUGAGUAACCUGCCCUUGACUCUGGGAUAAGCGCUGGAAACGGCGUCUAAUACCGGAUACGACCUACCCCGGCAUCGGGUGUGGGUGGAAAGUUUUUCGGUCAAGGAUGGACUCGCGGCCUAUCAGCUUGUUGGUGAGGUAAUGGCUCACCAAGGCGACGACGGGUAGCCGGCCUGAGAGGGUGACCGGCCACACUGGGACUGAGACACGGCCCAGACUCCUACGGGAGGCAGCAGUGGGGAAUAUUGCACAAUGGGCGAAAGCCUGAUGCAGCAACGCCGCGUGAGGGAUGACGGCCUUCGGGUUGUAAACCUCUUUUAGUAGGGAAGAAGGGCUUCGGCUUGACGGUACCUGCAGAAAAAGCACCGGCUAACUACGUGCCAGCAGCCGCGGUAAUACGUAGGGUGCAAGCGUUGUCCGGAAUUAUUGGGCGUAAAGAGCUCGUAGGCGGUUUGUCGCGUCUGCUGUGAAAACCCGAGGCUCAACCUCGGGCCUGCAGUGGGUACGGGCAGACUAGAGUGCGGUAGGGGAGAAUGGAAUUCCUGGUGUAGCGGUGGAAUGCGCAGAUAUCAGGAGGAACACCGAUGGCGAAGGCAGUUCUCUGGGCCGC